UGGGAAACGAUGUGGGAAGGCUCAGACAGCUAGGAGGUUGGCUUAGAAGCAGCCAUCCUUUAAAGAAAGCGUAAUAGCUCACUAGUCGAGUCGGCCUGCGCGGAAGAUGUAACGGGGCUCAAACUGGUCACCGAAGCUGCGGCUGCAUACUUUGUAUGCGGGGUAGGGGAGCGUUCUGUAAGCCUGCGAAGGUGUGUUGAGAAGCAUGCUGGAGGUAUCAGAAGUGCGAAUGCUGACAUGAGUAACGACAAUGCGGGUGAAAAACCCGCACGCCGGAAGACCAAGGGUUCCUGCGCAACGCUAAUCGGCGCAGGGUGAGUCGGCCCCUAAGGCGAGACCGAAAGGUGUAGUCGAUGGGAAACGGAUUAAUAUUUCCGUACCUUGGAUAGCUGCGAUGGAGAGACGGAGAAGGCUAGGUGAGCCGGGCGACGGUUGUCCCGGUUUAAGCAUGUAGGCAGUGGGAUUAGGCAAAUCCGGUCCCACAAUGCCGAGACGCGACGACGACUGCCCUUUUAGGGCGGGAAGUCAUUGAUGCCCUGCUUCCAGGAAAAUCUUCUAAGCUUCAGGCUAUUCGAGACCGUACCCCAAACCGACACAGGUGGUCAGGUAGAGAAUACCAAGGCGCUUGAGAGAACUCGGGUAAAGGAACUAGGCAAAAUGGUGCCGUAACUUCGGGAGAAGGCACGCCGGUGGUAUGUGACGCCCUUCGCGGGUUGAGCAGAAGCCGGUCGAAGAUACCAGGCCCCUGCGACUGUUUAUUAAAAACACAGCACUGUGCAAACACGAAAGUGGACGUAUACGGUGUGACGCCUGCCCGGUGCCGGAAGGUUAAUUGAUGGGGUUAGCGCUUGCGCGAAGCUCUUGAUCGAAGCCCCGGUAAACGGCGGCCGUAACUAUAACGGUCCUAAGGUAGCGAAAUUCCUUGUCGGGUAAGUUCCGACCUGCACGAAUGGCGUAACGAUGGCCACACUGUCUCCACCCGAGACUCAGUGAAAUUGAAAUUGCGGUUAAGAUGCCGUAUACCCGCGGCUAGACGGAAAGACCCCGUGAACCUUUACUAUAGCUUCACAGUGAACUUUGAGCAUGUUUGUGUAGGAUAGCUGGGAGGCUUUGAAGUGGGAACGCCAGUUCUCAUGGAGCCAACCUUGAAAUACCAGCCUGACAUGUUUGAGGUUCUAACUUGGUCCCCUUAUCGGGGAUGAGGACACUGUGUGGUGGGUAGUUUGACUGGGGCGGUCUCCUCCCAAAGCGUAACGGAGGAGCACAAAGGUGGGCUAAGCAUGGUCGGACAUCAUGCGGUUAGUGUAAUGGCACAAGCCCGCUUAACUGCGAGACAGACACGUCGAGCAGGUACGAAAGUAGGUCAUAGUGAUCCGGUGGUUCUGUAUGGAAGGGCCAUCGCUCAACGGAUAAAAGGUACUCCGGGGAUAACAGGCUGAUACCGCCCAAGAGUUCAUAUCGACGGCGGUGUUUGGCACCUCGAUGUCGGCUCAUCUCAUCCUGGGGCUGAAGCCGGUCCCAAGGGUAUGGCUGUUCGCCAUUUAAAGAGGUACGCGAGCUGGGUUUAGAACGUCGUGAGACAGUUCGGUCCCUAUCUGCCGUGGACGUUGGAGAUUUGAGGAAAGCUGCUCCUAGUACGAGAGGACCGGAGUGGACGAACCUCUGGUGUUCGGGUUGUGACGCCAGUCGCAUUGCCCGGUAGCUAUGUUCGGACAGGAUAACCGCUGAAAGCAUCUAAGCGGGAAGCCCCUUCCAAGAUGAGAUCUCCCUGGACCCUCGAGGUCCCUGAAGAGCCGUUCAAGACCAGGACGUUGAUAGGUCGGGUGUGUAAGCGCUGCGAGGCGUUGAGCUAACCGAUACUAAUUGCUCGUGCGGCUUGACUAU
RNAcentral lists this ribosomal RNA (1884 nucleotides) under seawater metagenome. RNAcentral's name for it is "bacterial LSU rRNA". It matches the Rfam family "Bacterial large subunit ribosomal RNA", at positions 1064 to 2925 of the family's 2925-position model. The record is from RNAcentral.